AGAUGGAGGGCAUUGACAGAAGAACAUGCAAGAGAUAGUUUUGAGAAUCUUCUCUUUAGUGUAUGCCGGUUCCGAGAGCUUACUGGCACAUAUCCUGAAAACAUAACAGUUGUAAGUUAUGACUUCAAGAAAGAAAGAUUUUCACACUUGCAUCGCUCUGCAAUUCGCUUUCCGGAUUUGAGGUUCUUUUACAAUGGCACCCCAGCAACAUCAACUUCCAAAGAAGCAGCUUUGAAAGGUGAGGCAUUGGU
RNAcentral lists this unclassified non-coding RNA (251 nucleotides) under Hevea brasiliensis (rubber tree). The record is from RNAcentral. Lineage: Eukaryota; Viridiplantae; Streptophyta; Magnoliopsida; Malpighiales; Euphorbiaceae.